This is a long non-coding RNA of Acipenser ruthenus (sterlet), 1334 nucleotides long. RefSeq lists it as uncharacterized. Lineage: Eukaryota; Metazoa; Chordata; Actinopteri; Acipenseriformes; Acipenseridae. The transcript is spliced from 4 exons. The record is from RefSeq and is a predicted model, not a curated record.
ACAGCCUAUCACACUGGUAAACGAAGGCGGGCGUUUGUGUAACCAUGGAUUCCAGCGACACAUCCUGUUUUUGUUGAAUCUGUAAAAAUGAAAAAUCGGCCUUGAAUAUGUUAAUUGCCGUGAUCAAAGUAAAGGGCUAUCAUUUCUAUUUUUAUUUCAGAUCAUUUAAAUAUGAAUUUAAUUUUUUGGAACGGUUGAGAAAUGUGUCUGCUGCUCGGAGCUACUGGUGUAGGAAAGACGCUACUGCUAAAGACUGCAAAAUAUCCUUUUAUCUGCGUUAUUUGUAAUUUAAAAUAAUUUGCAACACGAACAGAAACAGUUGCAUAUUUUUACGAAUCAGUCUGAAGGACAACCACGCAGAGCUGGGGGAGUCACCAGGCACCUUACCUACAUUCAUGAUAGAUGCUGCCAACACAACCCAGGUCUCCUCCUCAUGCAUUCAGCUUCUCUCUGUCCUCUCGGCAGAAGCAUUGGAAAGCACCUCCAUCUUAAUACUCUUCAAUAAAGUUGACAUCCUUUGCCCUAUGUCCCUUGUGGAAAUGAAGUCCUUGUUCAGACUCGAUGACAUCAUCUGUGCUAGGCAGCCAAUCACCGUGCUGGGAAUAAGUGCCUGCAAUGGUCAGGGCCUUCAGGACAUCCUAAAGUGGCUGCACUCCAUACAGGAGUAAUAACCUGAACCCAAAUGGACUGUUAUAAUGCAUUGAAGUGGCUGCUACUGCACAUAGACCAGCAACAGCAAAUGAAGACAUGGAAAAGACUGCACUGACUGCCCUAGCCUCCAAAGAGCCCAGAUCAGAACAAUAAAGAACAGCGGUUUCCAUCCUUUACCAAGGCGGGACCAAUACCUGCUUGGGAUCAAGUGCUGUAGCUCUGUGAUUGGUCUACCGGAAUUCUUCUUACCUGGGUGUUUAAAUGAUUCUGGUUGGGAUCUAUCCACCGAUUUGUAUUCAAAUGAACCCAAAGCUAUGAGACAAACACAAGCCCAAGUUUGCACACUCUUUCAUACUUGUUGUAACUGUACUUUACAUUAAGAUUGUACAUUUGAGAUAAAAUUGUCCAUUUGGGGCAGCAGUGUGGAGUGGUGGUUAGGGCUCUGGACUCUUGACCGGAGGGUCGUGGUUCAAUCCCAGGUGGGGGACACUGCUGCUGUACCCUUGAGCAAGGUACUUUACCUAGAUCGCUCCAGUAAAAACCCAACUGUAUAAAUGGGUAAUUGUAUGUAAAAAUAAUGUGAAAAAAAAAAUGUAAUUGUAUGUAAAAAUAAUGUGAUAUCUUGUAACAAUUAAGUCGCCCUGGAUAAGGGUGUCUGCUAAGAAAUAAAUAAAAAUAAAAGU